AGAGUUUGAUCCUGGCUCAGAUUGAACGCUGGCGGUAUGCUUAACACAUGCAAGUCGAACGGAAACGGAACUAGCUUGCUAGUAGACGUCGAGUGGCGGACGGGUGAGUAACGCGUAGGAAUCUGCCUGAUAGUGGGGGAUAGCCCGAAGAAAUUCGGAUUAAUACCGCAUAAUCUAUUCGUAGUAAAGUGGGGGACUUUCGAGCCUCACGCUAUCAGAUGAGCCUGCGUAAGAUUAGCUAGUUGGUAGGGUAAAAGCCUACCAAGGCUACGAUCUUUAGCUGGUCUGAGAGGAUGAUCAGCCACAUCGGGACUGAGACACGGCCCGAACUCCUACGGGAGGCAGCAGUGGGGAAUAUUGGACAAUGGGGGCAACCCUGAUCCAGCAAUACCGCGUGUGUGAAGAAGGCCUGAGGGUUGUAAAGCACUUUCAAUUGUGAAGAAAAGUUAACGGUUAAUAACCGUUAGCCUUGACGUUAACUUUAGAAGAAGCACCGGCUAACUCCGUGCCAGCAGCCGCGGUAAUACGGAGGGUGCAAGCGUUAAUCGGAAUUACUGGGCGUAAAGCGUGCGUAGGCGGUUUAUUAAGUCAGAUGUGAAAGCCCCGGGCUUAACCUGGGAACUGCAUUUGAAACUGGUCAACUAGAGUAUGGUAGAGGAAAGUGGAAUUUCUGGUGUAGCGGUGAAAUGCGUAGAUAUCAGAAGGAACAUCAAUGGCGAAGGCAGCUUUCUGGACCAAUACUGACGCUGAGGUACGAAAGCGUGGGUAGCAAACAGGAUUAGAUACCCUGGUAGUCCACGCCGUAAACGAUGAUAACUAGCCGUUGGGGGGAUUUACCCUUUAGUGGCGAAGCUAACGCGUUAAGUUAUCCGCCUGGGGAGUACGGCCGCAAGGUUAAAACUCAAAGGAAUUGACGGGGACCCGCACAAGCGGUGGAGCAUGUGGUUUAAUUCGAUGCAACGCGAAGAACCUUACCUGGUCUUGACAUCCUGCGAACUUUCUAGAAAUAGAUUGGUGCCUUCGGGAACGCAGUGACAGGUGCUGCAUGGCUGUCGUCAGCUCGUGUCGUGAGAUGUUGGGUUAAGUCCCGUAACGAGCGCAACCCCUAUCCUUAUUUGCCAGCACGUCAUGGUGGGAACUAUAAGGAGACUGCCGGUGAUAAACCGGAGGAAGGCGGGGACGACGUCAAGUCAUCAUGGCCCUUACGACCAGGGCUACACACGUGCUACAAUGGGAAGGACAAAGAGCCGCGAAGCCGCGAGGUGUAGCUAAUCUCAGAAACCUUUUCGUAGUCCGGAUUGGAGUCUGCAACUCGACUCCAUGAAGUCGGAAUCGCUAGUAAUCGUAGAUCAGAAUGCUACGGUGAAUACGUUCCCGGGUCUUGUACACACCGCCCGUCAUACCAUGGGAGUGGGUUGCACCAGAAGUGGCUAGUCUAACUUAGUGAGGACGGUCACCACGGUGUGAUUCAUGACUGGGGUAAAGUCGUAACAAGGUAACC
This 1501-nucleotide ribosomal RNA is filed under the name uncultured bacterium. Its description in RNAcentral is "bacterial SSU rRNA". It matches the Rfam family "Bacterial small subunit ribosomal RNA". The record is from RNAcentral.